Molecule: ribosomal RNA, 576 nt
Filed under: uncultured bacterium
Lineage: Bacteria
Description: partial 16S ribosomal RNA
Rfam family: Bacterial small subunit ribosomal RNA
Source: RNAcentral
UGGGGAAUUUUGGACAAUGGGCGCAAGCCUGAUCCAGCCAUGCCGCGUGCGGGAAGAAGGCCUUCGGGUUGUAAACCGCUUUUGUCAGGGAAGAAAUCUUCUGGGUUAAUACCUCGGGAGGAUGACGGUACCUGAAGAAUAAGCACCGGCUAACUACGUGCCAGCAGCCGCGGUAAUACGUAGGGUGCAAGCGUUAAUCGGAAUUACUGGGCGUAAAGCGUGCGCAGGCGGUUUUGUAAGACAGAGGUGAAAUCCCCGGGCUCAACCUGGGAACUGCCUUUGUGACUGCAAGGCUUGAGUGCGGCAGAGGGGGAUGGAAUUCCGCGUGUAGCAGUGAAAUGCGUAGAUAUGCGGAGGAACACCGAUGGCGAAGGCAAUCCCCUGGGCUUGCACUGACGCUCAUGCACGAAAGCGUGGGGAGCAAACAGGGUUAGAUACCCCUGGUAGUCCACGCCCUAAACGAUGUCAACUGGUUGUUGGGAAGGUUCCUCCUCAGUAACGUAGCUAACGCGUGAAGUUGACCGCCUGGGGAGUACGGCCGCAAGGUUGAAACUUAAAUGAAUUGACGGGGUCAUA